RNAcentral lists this transfer RNA (89 nucleotides) under Corypha utan. Its description in RNAcentral is "transfer RNA-Tyr". Lineage: Eukaryota; Viridiplantae; Streptophyta; Magnoliopsida; Arecales; Arecaceae. The record is from RNAcentral.
GGUAUUGGGCCGAGCUGGAUUUGAACCAGCGUAGACAUAUCGUCAACGAAUUUACAGUCCGUCCCCAUUAACCGCUCGGGCAUCGACCC